Non-coding RNA from Delphinapterus leucas (beluga whale), 3466 nucleotides. Lineage: Eukaryota; Metazoa; Chordata; Mammalia; Artiodactyla; Monodontidae. The record is from RefSeq and is a predicted model, not a curated record.
GACAAUAAAGUUUAGAAAGUUUGAAGAAGGAGGAGAAAAAACCUCCCACGCCCCUUCGGCUACCCUGGCGCGGACGCCUGCGGCCCGGCACAUACAGAGCUCCAGCAGCAGUGUGCUCGCGGAGGCGUGGCAGGCGCGCCGGAAUGGGGGUCACCGUGGACGUGCACGAGGUGUUCAAGUACCCCUUCGAGCAGGUGGUAGCCAGCUUCCUCCGAAAGUAUCCAAACCCCAUGGAUAAAAAUGUCAUCUCUGUAAAAACUGUGGAGGAAAAAAAAGAUGUGUCAACAGGGAUCAUCUAUAGAAAGAGGAUUGCAGUCUGUCAAAAUGUGGUUCCAGAAAUUUUAAGGAAGCACUCUGGUGAUUGUUGGAAAAAGGUGAACAUUUUAAAGGUACCUAAUGUCCAGUUAGAAGAGGAAUCAUGGUUCAAUCCUCAGGAAAGGAACAUGGCUAUAAGGAGUCACUGCCUUACGUGGACACAAUAUGCAUCCAUGAAGGAAGAGUCUGUCUUCCGGGAAAGUAUAGAAAAUCCAAAUUGGACAGAGUUCAUUCAAAAAGGCAGGAUUUCAAUCACAGGGGCUGGUUUUCUCAACUGCGUUUUGGAAACUUUUGCCAGCACAUUUUUAAGACAGGGUGCCCAGAAGGAUGCCAACUACUGGGCAGAUCGCACUAUAAUUCCAAAAUUCACACUCAUCAGCCUGGCAUUCAAAAGUAUCAGUUGGUCCGUCUUAUGAUUCAUCAACAUUGAGCAUGUAUUUUGUGCCAGAUUCUGCACCAGACAAUAAGGAUUCAAACGGAAUUAGAAUAAUGGAGAUGCUGUUAAAGGAACAGUGUGGUGCCCCCUUAGCUGAAUAAAGAAUCAUCAGGAAGCUGUGUUGUGUCUACUUUUGCUCGAGAAUCUUUUCUCGGACACAACACAUCCAAAGACACAGUUUUCGAAAUACAGGUAUAAGAAUGCGGUGUUGGCAGCUUACAGAAGAGGAAACCUUUCUGCCGGGAUAUGACAUGAUACACUCCCCCUGGGAGCCGACCUCAGAUAGCGGCUCUCGUGGAGCCGAGACCUUCUGGCUGAUUCUUAUGGCAUAAUCUCUACUGUUUUACAAAUAAAGGAAAAAUCCCAUAGAAGGUGAUGUCUGCCCUCCUUCAGGAUGUCCUGCUGAGUGCCUGGUGGCGGUGUUGGGGCAGCCAAGGAUGAGCCAGAGGCAUGGAAAAUGCUACUUUUGCCUGUUUGUUCUCUCCAUCGUUGCUCAUAGGAUUCAUAAGAGGAUUCUGGGGCGAAUAAAGGACUUAAACCUGAUACCUGAUUCUUAGGUGGCCUGGAACAGACAGGAAUAUACCAUACCUGUGUUGAAGUUAAGCCAUAUUCACAGUAAUGUUGAAGAUUCUCAGAAAUCAGGAGCAUUUGAUUUCUCCCCAUCAGUACUACAUAACUGCCGUCAGCUAGCUUUUUUAAUAUAACAUGAACUGUGAUUGGUCCUUAAAAGAACCUGGGGAGUGGGGAGACAGGCUCCUUCUAACUCAUUCUGGGCUGUGGAGCAGAUUAUGUGAUCUCUCUGUUUUUCAUUGGGCAAAUGGGGAUAAUUGGGCACAGGUCUUUCUACUUGUGAUGAUUAAACAAGGUUGUUUGGUACGAAAAGCACAGGUUUGGGAGUCAGAAGGACUCUGGUUUGAAUCUGAGCAGGGCCACGCAGCAGCUUGGUGAUUACGUAUGUAAUUUAAAAUCUUUCUUAAAGAUCUUUCCUAGAUUCCUUUUUUAGGUUUAUAAAAUGGGAUUGUAGAGUUAACCUUAUGAGGCUGUUGGAACAAUUGGAGAUCAUGUGAUAAAGUGCCUAGCAUGCUACCUGGUACACAGAAAUAAAUAGAAGCUAUUAUUAGUACUUGAAACCAUUUUGGAAAUAUACUUUUCUAACGUUAGGUAAUGUAGUAGUAUUGUUUGAAAAUUAGGUGACGGUAGUUUGCAUUCCCCAUGAUCCAAAGCCAAAAUGUAAAUGCACACUACCUAAAAGAAAGCUUGAAGAGGGGCAGUAAUUUGGAAUUCAUUGUCUUAAGUUAAAACAAGUUGGGCCAUUACUGGAAAGUCCUGGGGAAAUUAUUAUUUUUUUUAAUAUUUGAAAAAUUUUCCAUUUAGUGAAUGAUGAAUUUCAAAGCAAUUGUUUUUUUAAAUUUAUUUUUCUUUAUCUUUUUUUAAACUUUAAUACAAGCCUGCCACUGUGAGCUCCUCUUAUUGCAUUUGAGCUGUUUGUGCUGCCUGAGUUUUGUGUCUUAGGAUAAUUUCCCUUCAUUUCCUUAGUGUUUCAUUCUUCAGUUGUGUUGGAGGGAAAAUGAAUGGUAGAAACCAGAAAACACUUUGACCUUUUUCCAGUUUGUAAAUGGCAUUUGGUAGGCUUUAGGAAUAAGAGCGCAUUUACACAAAUAAAAGGUGAUGUGAAUUAUCACAGAGGUGAGAGGGGAGAAAUCUGUACUUGGAGGUUGACGUUAGAAUAAAUGUAAUUCUGGGAGUUCCCUGGUGGCCUGAUGGUUAGGACUCCAAGCUUUUCACUGCCAGGGUCUGGGUUCAAUCCCUGGUUGGGAAACUGAGAUCCCGCAAGUCUCCUGGCACAGCCAAAAAAAAAAGAAAAAAAAGAAAGAAUGAAUGUAACCCUUCAUACUCAACAACUUGCAUUCUGUGAAAGCAGUUCUCAACCUUGACUGUCCAUUAGAACCACCUGGGAGCUUUCUGCACUCCUGCUGCCUACCUUACAUCUGGGACUAAUAAGUCAGAAUCUCUGGGGGUGGAACCCAGUCAGCAGUAUUUUUUAAAGCUCCCUAGGUGAUUCCAAUGGCCAGCGAACACUACAGUUCUGGGUGAUUUGCAGAUAUUAUCUGAUUGCUUUCUUCACAUCUCCAAGGUAGGAAAGUAUCUUUGUAGUAAGAAUUAUUGUUAGAGUGAAGCACAGAGAGGCUGAUUUUUUGCCUUAAUUCCUUGAAGCUGACGUGGCCAGUGCAAAUGCCUGCAGGGGUCUGGCAGGUGAAGUGAUGUGUGCAGCAGGCUGGCGGCCAGUGGGGAGACCCCAGGAGUACGUGGCUGUGGUGAAAGGUGGGCAGCUGCUGCCCGGCUCCAGCACAGUGUUGCCAAGUGGCUGGUUUUUCUAGUUCUUCCAAUUUCCAAUUUUCCAGGAAAAGAUAGUAUUAAAAAAAAGAAAGAAAUCACCCAAUUUUUAUGUGUUGGUAACGAAUUCAGGAUUGUUUAAAACAUUGUGCCUGCCAAACAAAACACGUUUGCCAGUAGUUUCCAGCCUUUGCUUCAAGAGUGUUAAGGACCAGCUUAAACAUCUCAGCCAACUUUUAAGAGAUUAGCGUUUCCCUAUUCUGGUUGUACGCUGCUUUCUGCCUCUCCUCCAAGACUGCUUUUACAUGUAUUUUCCUCCCCAUUCCCAAGCAAUCCUCUGAACUUGCAUCAGACACUUAUCCUCAGUUUCCCCGCCCCCCA